GAUGAACGCUGGCGGCGUGCCUAACACAUGCAAGCCGAGCGAUUUACUUCGGUAAAGAGCGGCGGACGGGUGAGUAACGCGUGGGUAACCUGCCCUGUACACACGGAUAACAUACCGAAAGGUAUGCUAAUACGAGAUAAUAUGCUUUUAUCGCAUGGUAGAAGUAUCAAAGCUUUUGCGGUACAGGAUGGACCCGCGUCUGAUUAGCUAGUUGGUAAGGUAACGGCUUACCAAGGCGACGAUCAGUAGCCGACCUGAGAGGGUGAUCGGCCACAUUGGAACUGAGACACGGUCCAAACCCCUACGGGAGGCAGCAGUGGGGAAUAUUGCACAAUGGGCGAAAGCCUGAUGCAGCAACGCCGCGUGAGCGAUGAAGGCCUUCGGGUCGUAAAGCUCUGUCCUCAAGGAAGAUAAUGACGGUACUUGAGGAGGAAGCCCCGGCUAACUACGUG
This 452-nucleotide ribosomal RNA is filed under the name uncultured bacterium. Its description in RNAcentral is "bacterial SSU rRNA". It matches the Rfam family "Bacterial small subunit ribosomal RNA", at positions 28 to 507 of the family's 1533-position model. The record is from RNAcentral.